This 936-nucleotide ribosomal RNA is filed under the name Staphylococcus aureus M1248. Its description in RNAcentral is "bacterial SSU rRNA". It matches the Rfam family "Bacterial small subunit ribosomal RNA", at positions 8 to 925 of the family's 1533-position model. Lineage: Bacteria; Bacillati; Bacillota; Bacilli; Caryophanales; Staphylococcaceae. RNAcentral also lists the same sequence under 7 other names. The record is from RNAcentral.
AGAGUUUGAUCCUGGCUCAGGAUGAACGCUGGCGGCGUGCCUAAUACAUGCAAGUCGAGCGAACGGACGAGAAGCUUGCUUCUCUGAUGUUAGCGGCGGACGGGUGAGUAACACGUGGAUAACCUACCUAUAAGACUGGGAUAACUUCGGGAAACCGGAGCUAAUACCGGAUAAUAUUUUGAACCGCAUGGUUCAAAAGUGAAAGACGGUCUUGCUGUCACUUAUAGAUGGAUCCGCGCUGCAUUAGCUAGUUGGUAAGGUAACGGCUUACCAAGGCAACGAUGCAUAGCCGACCUGAGAGGGUGAUCGGCCACACUGGAACUGAGACACGGUCCAGACUCCUACGGGAGGCAGCAGUAGGGAAUCUUCCGCAAUGGGCGAAAGCCUGACGGAGCAACGCCGCGUGAGUGAUGAAGGUCUUCGGAUCGUAAAACUCUGUUAUUAGGGAAGAACAUAUGUGUAAGUAACUGUGCACAUCUUGACGGUACCUAAUCAGAAAGCCACGGCUAACUACGUGCCAGCAGCCGCGGUAAUACGUAGGUGGCAAGCGUUAUCCGGAAUUAUUGGGCGUAAAGCGCGCGUAGGCGGUUUUUUAAGUCUGAUGUGAAAGCCCACGGCUCAACCGUGGAGGGUCAUUGGAAACUGGAAAACUUGAGUGCAGAAGAGGAAAGUGGAAUUCCAUGUGUAGCGGUGAAAUGCGCAGAGAUAUGGAGGAACACCAGUGGCGAAGGCGACUUUCUGGUCUGUAACUGACGCUGAUGUGCGAAAGCGUGGGGAUCAAACAGGAUUAGAUACCCUGGUAGUCCACGCCGUAAACGAUGAGUGCUAAGUGUUAGGGGGUUUCCGCCCCUUAGUGCUGCAGCUAACGCAUUAAGCACUCCGCCUGGGGAGUACGACCGCAAGGUUGAAACUCAAAGGAAUUGACGGGGACCCGCA